UGGGUUGUGGCUCAGUGGUAGAGCGCUUGCCUAGCAUGCAUGAGGCCCUGGGUUCAAUCCUCAGCACCACAU
This 72-nucleotide transfer RNA is filed under the name Marmota monax (woodchuck). It matches the Rfam family "tRNA". Rfam says of the family: Transfer RNA (tRNA) molecules are approximately 80 nucleotides in length. Their secondary structure includes four short double-helical elements and three loops (D, anti-codon, and T loops). Further hydrogen bonds mediate the characteristic L-shaped molecular structure. tRNAs have two regions of fundamental functional importance: the anti-codon, which is responsible for specific mRNA codon recognition, and the 3' end, to which the tRNAs corresponding amino acid is attached (by aminoacyl-tRNA synthetases). tRNAs cope with the degeneracy of the genetic code in two manners: having more than one tRNA (with a specific anti-codon) for a particular amino acid; and 'wobble' base-pairing, i.e. permitting non-standard base-pairing at the 3rd anti-codon position. The record is from Rfam by way of RNAcentral. Lineage: Eukaryota; Metazoa; Chordata; Mammalia; Rodentia; Sciuridae.